GAGAACCCAGUGCAUCCAGUGAGGAUUGUGCCAGCCACCAUCCAGCCCCUGAGAUCCAGCCGGAGGCGGCCUGGGUGGAACUUCCUGAGGUGUGCCUACAUGAUGGUCACCUUCAUCUUCGUGUCCUACAACAGAGGGGACUGGUGCUACUGCCACUAUUGUAGCCUAGAGCUGGACUUCAGACGUGACCCCUGCUGUGCUUUCUGAGGA
Dipodomys spectabilis (banner-tailed kangaroo rat) is the source of this 210-nucleotide long non-coding RNA. RefSeq lists it as uncharacterized. The record is from RefSeq and is a predicted model, not a curated record. The transcript is spliced from 3 exons. Lineage: Eukaryota; Metazoa; Chordata; Mammalia; Rodentia; Heteromyidae.